UGGGGAAUUUUGGACAAUGGGGGAAACCCUGAUCCAGCCAUCCCGCGUGUGCGAUGAAGGCCUUCGGGUUGUAAAGCACUUUUGGCAGGAAAGAAACGUCGCGGGUUAAUACCCCGCGAAACUGACGGUACCUGCAGAAUAAGCACCGGCUAACUACGUGCCAGCAGCCGCGGUAAUACGUAGGGUGCAAGCGUUAAUCGGAAUUACUGGGCGUAAAGCGUGCGCAGGCGGUUCGGAAAGAAAGAUGUGAAAUCCCAGAGCUUAACUUUGGAACUGCAUUUUUAACUACCGGGCUAGAGUGUGUCAGAGGGAGGUGGAAUUCCGCGUGUAGCAGUGAAAUGCGUAGAUGUGCGGAAGACACCGAUGGCGAAGGCAGCCUCCUGGGAUAACACUGACGCUCAUGCACGAAAGCGUGGGGAGCAAACAGGAUUAGAUACCCUGGUAGUCCACGCCCUAAACGAUGUCAACUAGCUGUUGGGGCCUUCGGGCCUUGGUAGCGCAGCUAACGCGUGAAGUUGACCGCCUGGGGAGUACGGUCGCAAGAUUAAAACUCAAAUGAA
RNAcentral lists this ribosomal RNA (560 nucleotides) under uncultured bacterium. RNAcentral's name for it is "partial 16S ribosomal RNA". It matches the Rfam family "Bacterial small subunit ribosomal RNA", at positions 355 to 909 of the family's 1533-position model. The record is from RNAcentral.